This 77-nucleotide transfer RNA is filed under the name Deltaproteobacteria bacterium. RNAcentral's name for it is "tRNA-Pro". It matches the Rfam family "tRNA". Rfam says of the family: Transfer RNA (tRNA) molecules are approximately 80 nucleotides in length. Their secondary structure includes four short double-helical elements and three loops (D, anti-codon, and T loops). RNAcentral also lists the same sequence under 3 other names. Lineage: Bacteria; Pseudomonadati; Myxococcota; Myxococcia. The record is from RNAcentral.
CGGGACGUGGCUCAGCCUGGUAGAGCGCUGCGUUCGGGACGCAGAAGUCGCUGGUUCGAAUCCAGUCGUCCCGACCA